GCGGCCCUGAAUCAAGGUCAGCAACUUGUCGUAGCUCCUGGCUUCAAACAGCGGCCCACAGCAACCUCUUCCAAUGGUCUGUUGGCGUUUCCAUCUGGUUAUAAACGAUGGAAGUCAAUUCCAUUGGAAGAUACAUGU
This is a small nucleolar RNA of Engraulis encrasicolus (European anchovy), 138 nucleotides long. Lineage: Eukaryota; Metazoa; Chordata; Actinopteri; Clupeiformes; Engraulidae. The record is from RefSeq and is a predicted model, not a curated record.